UGGGGAAUAUUGCACAAUGGGGGAAACCCUGAUGCAGCGACGCCGCGUGGGGGAUGACGGCCUUCGGGUUGUAAACCUCUUUCAGUAGGGAAGAAGCCUCUUGGGGUGACGGUACCUGCAGAAGAAGUACCGGCUAACUACGUGCCAGCAGCCGCGGUAAUACGUAGGGUACAAGCGUUGUCCGGAAUUAUUGGGCGUAAAGAGCUCGUAGGUGGUCUGUCGCGUCUGCUGUGGAAACGCAACGCUCAACGUUGCGCGUGCAGUGGGUACGGGCGGACUGGAGUGCAGUAGGGGAGUCUGGAAUUCCUGGUGUAGCGGUGAAAUGCGCAGAUAUCAGGAGGAACACCGGUGGCGAAGGCGGGACUCUGGGCUGUAACUGACGCUGAGGAGCGAAAGCAUGGGGAGCGAACA
Molecule: ribosomal RNA, 411 nt
Filed under: uncultured Brevibacterium sp.
Lineage: Bacteria; Bacillati; Actinomycetota; Actinomycetes; Micrococcales; Brevibacteriaceae
Description: bacterial SSU rRNA
Rfam family: Bacterial small subunit ribosomal RNA
Source: RNAcentral